RNAcentral lists this ribosomal RNA (253 nucleotides) under uncultured bacterium. RNAcentral's name for it is "partial 16S ribosomal RNA". It matches the Rfam family "Bacterial small subunit ribosomal RNA", at positions 524 to 776 of the family's 1533-position model. The record is from RNAcentral.
UACGAAGGGUGCAAACGUUGCUCGGAAUUAUUGGGCGUAAAGCGCACGUAGGCGGCUCUAUAAGUCGGAUGUGAAAUCCCCCGGCUUAACCAAGGAAGUGCAUCCGAAACUGCAGAGCUUGAGUACUUAAGAGGAUCGCGGAAUUCCCGGUGUAGAGGUGAAAUUCGUAGAUAUCGGGAGGAACACCAGUGGCGAAGGCGGCGAUCUGGGAAGAUACUGACGCUGAGGUGCGAAAGCGUGGGGAGCAAACAGG